This 886-nucleotide long non-coding RNA is filed under the name Danio rerio (zebrafish). RNAcentral describes it as "si:cabz01015814.1 (ENSDARG00000105672.2)". The record is from RNAcentral. Lineage: Eukaryota; Metazoa; Chordata; Actinopteri; Cypriniformes; Danionidae.
UUGUGUUUUCGGAGCGUAUAAAUCAGUUAAAAACGCUCAGUAAUCGCCUGUUUAUCGUCGAUAAAUCCACCAGAAACACAAAUUCAGCGUCUGUAGGCAAAGAGGAGAGAAACCGAGCCUCCAGAAACUUCGAGUUAAUUCCUGCUUUGCAAACUCAACAAAACCACAGAGAAGCUGCACACUUGUAAAGAUGGCGUUUAUUAAAGAGGAGUGUGAGGACAUCAGGAUUGCAGAUGUUUUCACGCUGGUAAAAGAAGAGCCUGAGGAUCCAAUAGACCUGAUGCCACUGAAAAGGGAGAUUCAAGAAUAUCUGAUUGAGAACCAUAACGACUUCAUACCUACAGAAAGUGAAUUCAUUUGCUCGCAGACUAUGAUGAGCUCACAAAAGGCUGCUCAAACAACAAAGACCGCACAUCCUCUCAAAUGCGACCAGUGCGGGAGAGGUUUUACUAAAAAGGGACACCUCAGAAACCACAUGAGGACUCACAAUGGAGAGAGCUCUUUCACCUGCCAACAGUGUGGAAAAGGUUUCACUCAAAAGUCAAACCUCAGAAACCACAUCAAAAUUCAUAUCGCGAAAAACGCUUUGACCUGCCAACAGUGUGGCAAAUCUUUCAGUAAUAAAGACUACCUUAAACGACACAUGAGAGUUCACACUAUAGAGACUUCUCACACGUGCCCUCAAUGCGGAAAGAGUUUUGCAGACGAAUCGAUAUGUAUCGCCCACAUGAGCAGUCACACUGGAGAAAAACCAUUUGUGUGUGAUCAGUGUGGGAAGAGCUACACAAGUCGGAGUAACCUUAAAUACCACAUGAAUGUUCAUGCAAAUGAGAACAGUUUUAUGUGCCAUCACUGCGGAGUGCGUUUCAGAAGAAGCGCUCAACUG